This 253-nucleotide ribosomal RNA is filed under the name uncultured bacterium. RNAcentral describes it as "partial 16S ribosomal RNA". It matches the Rfam family "Bacterial small subunit ribosomal RNA", at positions 524 to 776 of the family's 1533-position model. The record is from RNAcentral.
UACAGAGGGUGCGAGCGUUAAUCGGAAUUAUUGGGCGUAAAGGGAGCGUAGGCGGAUAGGCAAGUGAUAGGUGAAAUACCCGGGCUUAACCUGGGGAGGUCCUAUCAGACUGCCUGUCUAGAGUGUGGUAGAGGAAGGUGGAAUUCCUGGUGUAGCGGUGAAAUGCGUAGAUAUCAGGAAGAACAUCGAUGGCGAAGGCAACCUUCUGGGCCAUUACUGACGCUGAGGCUCGAAAGCGUGGGGAGCGAACAGG